AGUGAACGCUGGCGGUAGGCCUAGCACAUGCAAGUCGAACGGCAGCACAGUAAGAGCUUGCUCUUACGGGUGGCGAGUGGCGGACGGGUGAGGAAUACAUCGGAAUCUACUUUUUCGUGGGGGAUAACGUAGGGAAACUUACGCUAGUACCGCAUACGACCUACGGGUGAAAGCAGGGGAUCUUCGGACCUUGCGCGAUUGAAUGAGCCGAUGUCGGAUUAGCUAGUUGGCGGGGUAAAGGCCCACCAAGGCGACGAUCCGUAGCUGGUCUGAGAGGAUGAUCAGCCACACUGGAACUGAGACACGGUCCAGACUCCUACGGGAGGCAGCAGUGGGGAAUAUUGGACAAUGGGCGCAAGCCUGAUCCAGCCAUACCGCGUGGGUGAAGAAGGCCUUCGGGUUGUAAAGCCCUUUUGUUGGGAAAGAAAAGCAGCAGGUUAAUACCCCGCUGUUCUGACGGUACCCAAAGAAUAAGCACCGGCUAACUUCGU
This 491-nucleotide ribosomal RNA is filed under the name uncultured bacterium. Its description in RNAcentral is "partial 16S ribosomal RNA". It matches the Rfam family "Bacterial small subunit ribosomal RNA", at positions 29 to 506 of the family's 1533-position model. The record is from RNAcentral.